RNAcentral lists this ribosomal RNA (440 nucleotides) under uncultured bacterium. RNAcentral describes it as "partial 16S ribosomal RNA". It matches the Rfam family "Bacterial small subunit ribosomal RNA", at positions 338 to 795 of the family's 1533-position model. The record is from RNAcentral.
CCUACGGGAGGCAGCAGUGGGGAAUAUUGCACAAUGGGGGAAACCCUGAUGCAGUGACGCCGCGUGAGUGAAGAAGUAUUUCGGUACGUAAAGCUCUAUCAGCAGGGAAGAAAAUGACGGUACCUGACUAAGAAGCCCCGGCUAACUACGUGCCAGCAGCCGCGGUAAUACGUAGGGGGCAAGCGUUAUCCGGAUUUACUGGGUGUAAAGGGAGCGUAGACGGCAGCGCAAGUCUGGAGUGAAAUCCCAUGGCUUAACCAUGGAACUGCUUUGGAAACUGUGCAGCUAGAGUGCAGGAGAGGUAAGCGGAAUUCCUAGUGUAGCGGUGAAAUGCGUAGAUAUUAGGAGGAACACCAGGGGCGAAGGCGGCUUACUGGACUGUAACUGACGUUGAGGCUCGAAAGCGUGGGGAGCAAACAGGAUUAGAUACCCCGGUAGUC